Molecule: ribosomal RNA, 274 nt
Filed under: uncultured bacterium
Lineage: Bacteria
Description: partial 16S ribosomal RNA
Rfam family: Bacterial small subunit ribosomal RNA
Source: RNAcentral
AUACGGAGGGGGCAAGCGUUGUUCGGAAUUACUGGGCGUAAAGGGCGCGUAGGCGGAUUAUCAAGUCAGAGGUGAAAGCCCUGGGCUCAACCUGGGAACUGCCUUUGAAACUGAUAGUCUUGAGGCCGGAAGAGGAUGGCGGAAUUCCCAGUGUAGAGGUGAAAUUCGUAGAUAUUGGGAAGAACACCAGUGGCGAAGGCGGCCAUCUGGUCCGGUUCUGACGCUGAGGCGCGAAAGCGUGGGGAGCAAACAGGAUUAGAUACCCCAGUAGUCC